CCUACGGUGGGCAGCAGUGAGGAAUAUUGGUCAAUGGCCGGAAGGCUGAACCAGCCAUGCCGCGUGAAGGUCAGUGCCCUAUGGGCGUUAAACUUCUUUUGUGCGGGAGCAAUAAUGGUCACGUGUGGCCAGACGAGAGUACCGUACGAAUAAGCAUCGGCUAACUCCGUGCCAGCAGCCGCGGUAAUACGGGGGAUGCAAGCGUUAUCCGGAUUUAUUGGGUUUAAAGGGUGCGUAGGCUGUGAGGUAAGUCAGCUGUGAAAUGCCCCCGCGCAACGGGGUGAAGUGCCAUUGAUACUGCCUGGGUUGAAUGCGGAAGCCGUGGGAGGAAUGUGUGGUGUAGCGGUGAAAUGCAGAGAUAUCACACAGAACACCGAUUGCGAAGGCAUCUCACGAAUCCGCGAUUGACGCUGAUGCACGAAAGCGUGGGUAUCAAACAGGAUUAGAUACCCGAGUAGUC
This 460-nucleotide ribosomal RNA is filed under the name uncultured bacterium. RNAcentral describes it as "partial 16S ribosomal RNA". It matches the Rfam family "Bacterial small subunit ribosomal RNA", at positions 338 to 795 of the family's 1533-position model. The record is from RNAcentral.